GGCUGCGUAAGGGAGACCAUGAUGUCAUGGGCUUCUCUUUUCCUGCCCUUCCCACAGUUCCAGGAAGAGAAGCGCCGGAGAGAAAUCGAGGAACGCCGGCGGUUCCCCCUCGAGCAGCGACUCCGAGAACACAUCAUUGGCCAAGAGAGCGCCAUCGCCACCGUCGGAGCUGGGCGUGUGGCGUCAGGGUCAGGUGGUGGGCUGGCUGGCCUAGUCAGGAGAGGGCUCCCCCAUGCCGAAUGGCCUUGAAAAGUCACCUUGGGACGUUUCUUGACCCUACUAGGGAAUAUCAUCAGUGCUGGAAGGGAGCGGAGUUUGCACAGAGGGAGACAACGGUGGGUCCUUUUGUGCUUUCUGAGCCUGCCUGUUUCAUUGCAGACAUUUUCUGACCAAACCAGGGAAUACCAUCAGUG
RNAcentral lists this long non-coding RNA (413 nucleotides) under Laticauda laticaudata (blue-ringed sea krait). Its description in RNAcentral is "lncRNA (ENSLLTG00000015620.1)". The record is from RNAcentral. Lineage: Eukaryota; Metazoa; Chordata; Lepidosauria; Squamata; Elapidae.